CGGAUGUCCAAGCACUUUCCUUUAAGGGUACGUUUGGUUCGCAUUAUGAAAGAUUACUAGGAGUAAAAAGAUAUCCGAGAAUCUUAUUUCUAUUCAUCCUAUUACUAAGAUUGUAAUAUUUCGGUGUUUGGUUCGUACGGUCAUAUUAUUUAGUCAUGUUAUUUAAGAUUACGAAAAAUAUACAAUCAAUUAAUUAAUUAAUUUAAUUAAUUUUAAAUAAUACUAUAAAAAAAAUUCAACAUCUUUUUAGAAAAAAGAGAGAGAAUAUAGGUUAGAAAGAGAGAGCAUAAUUAAAGAAAUAGGAAGAGAAAUAGAGUCGAGGUUAGAGAGAAUGAGAGGGUUGAGAUUUUAGAAAAAGAUAGGGAGAAAUAGCUUAAUUUAGAAAGAGAAAAAGAGUUGAAGUUUAGAAAAAAAAAAGAUAAGUUUAAAGAGAGAUAUGAGGUUAGAGUGUAAAAAAAAAUAAAACCAACUAACCGGCGGGUGAGAAGAAAAAAAAAAAAUAGACAUAUUAUAAUUACUCCAAUAUAUUAAUAUAAGAAUACCAACCCUCUCUCAAAGGAAUGAGAUUAAUACUUUGGGAUGCAUCUCAGUCCCAAGUAAAUAUAGUAUUACCAACUAAAUUACUUAAUCCGUUUAGCCAAACACCGCCAUAUUUUUUUAUUUCUAUUGGAUUAUUAGGAAUCUUAAAAAGAUAGCGCGAACCAGACGCACCCUUGAAGUAUUCUGACUAGACCUGGCAAUCUCGACCCAAACCCGCGGGUACCAGCGGGUUACCCGCAAAUUUGCGGGUAUGGGUACCAACUUUUUCAACCCAAAAAAUUAUAAGUAAAACGGGUGGGUACCCAUUAAGCUAUGACCAUUUUGGGUAACCCGCGGGUACCCACGGGUACCCACACAUAUAUAUUUUAAUUACAAAAUAUAUUUUUUUAAUUAAUAUAUUUAUUUAUUUAUUUAUNGUUAGAGAGAAUAAGAGGGUUGAGAUUUUAGAAAAAGAGAGGGAAAAAUAGCAUAAUUUAGAGAGAGAAAAAGAGUUGAAGUUUAGAAAAAAAAAAAGAAGAUAAGUUUAGAGAGAGAUAUGAGGUUAGAGUGUAAAGAAAAAUAAUACCAACUAGCCGGCAGGUGGAAAGAAAAAAAAAAGAUUAGACAUAUUAUAAUUACUUCAAUAUAUUAAUAUAAGGAUAUUCACCUUCUCUCAAAGGAAUGAGAUUAGUACUUUAGGAUGCAUCUCAUUUCCAAGUAAAUAUAGUAUUACCAACUAGAUUACUUAGUGCGUUUAGCCAAACACCGUCAUAUUUUUUUUAUUUCUAUUAAAUUAUUAGGAAUCUUAAAAAGAUAGCGCGAACCAAACGCACCCUAAGAGUAAGUUUUCUGCAGUUUCAUGCACAAAAAAUUUCCCCAUUCAGAAUGAUUCUUAUGUCCAUUAGCAACAAGAUCAAUUUCACGCCAUCGGGCUAUUUUAUCUGCACCUCCUUUUAUUCAGAUCUCUGGAGUGUCUAGUAUGGCCUAGAAUGGCAAGGUUUAUCGACCGUAGCACGACAAACAACAUUUCAACCGCGAGAAAUAUUUCCUCAGUUUUGCAAUUACUGCAGCAUCGUUCUACUUCAUGAACAAGGUGAUAUAUUCACUGCUGCUGCUACUGAUGGGCCACUUAUAAGUGUAUUAAUAGAGAUUGUAGGAAGCCUCGAUCACUUAUUAGUUUCAAUCAUUAUCAGACAAGUUUACUCACAUUUCGCUUUGCUGGAUUUAGCUGGAUUUGAAAACUCUGGUCUCUUCAAGCAGAUAGGGAUGGGGUGGACUUGAAUGACUUGUUUUAAUGGCUUUACUCAUUUAUAUUGCGGUGUUUAUGUUCUCUUUGGUCAAUUAUGAUCAAUUCGUAUACGCUUCCUUUGACAAAAAUGCAUCAGAUCUUGUUUGAGGUUCCCAAGUUUCUCGAUAAAUUAACUUACUUGAACAUACGAAUAAAAAUGAUAGGUAACUUGUCUUUGCUUUCAACAAAGGUUCAUUCAACGAAGAAAACAAAAAUUGUUUUACUUUGCUCCAGACCGAAACACAAACCUGCCGGGCUAGGUCUAUAACGUGCUGCACUUUUCUCCUGCUGAUUCCAGCCGGCAAAAGAGGAAGAUGAAAACCGCUCUCGUUUUUCUACUUCCAUAUGCAAUUAUAUUUUCACGUUCGUUCGAAUCCUAAGUUUGGUAUAUUCCUUUUCUCCGAGUACUUUGAACUUUGGUUCAGGUUAUGCUUCAUCUUCGUCGAAUCUGCAAUUGUACUGAGAUGUUAGAGUUAUUAUUAAGGUUCAAGGAAUUGCUAUUUCUAUUCUCCCCUUUCUUCAUUGCUAAUUUAGGCUAAACAAUAGGCUCGUAAUUGUAUCAAGCUCGAAAUCCGCUCAUAAAUAAUUUUUCAAAACAAAAAAAAAGAAAAAAAGAAGUGACUUUUUUUUUUCUGUAAAAGAUUAAAUAAUUAAAAAAGCUGGGUGUUUCGAUAAUAUAAUGUAGUGAUUGGUUCUUUCAAUCGACUUUCAUCGUCUCUUGGCAUGCAACAAGAAAAACAUAUGAUGAAACAUCCAAAAUUCGCAUUAAUUUCCAUUCGAAUUGAGGAAAAUAAAUGGCCAAUUUGCCUAUAAUCUCUUGUUAAUUUUCGACUAACCAAGCUCUAACAAGCUUUCUUAAUUAUGAGACAAAAACAAAGCCUAAUUAAGAACAAAUUUUCAGAAUUACCAUCACGAUCAACAUGGUUAGAAGGGAAAACGCAUCGUCAUAAUAUACAAGUAUUAAAUCCGAAUUUACACCAACACCAAAUCCCCAAUCACUCGUACGACAUUAAUCUCUCUUUUUAUUAUUCGAGUCGAAUAUAUGUUCCGAUCAAACUCGGCGCAGUCUCAGCCGCGGGGAUCUUCGACGGCGCCAUCGGGAGGCGGCGAAAGCGCGGCGGCGGAGAGGGCGUCGGCGAGCGCGCGCAUCGCCUUGACCUGCAUCUCGAGCGCCGCGACGUAGUCGGCCGUCUCCUCCAGCAGGCUCGGCGCCGGCAGUUUCCGGCACCCCGGCACCAGCCGCCCCAGCAGCCGGAGCCGCUCCUUCACCUUCGGCUUCGCCGGAGACGGAGCCGGAGGUGGCGGGGGGAGGCGGCGGCGGCGGCGGCGGCGGAGUUUUCCGGCGGAGGACUUGAGGAGGAGGGGCUUGCGGCGCCGGGCGAGGAGGACGGCGCGGCUCCAGCGAGACUGGCCGCCGGCGGUCAGGGCGAGGGCGGAGUCGGCGGCCUCCUUGACGGCGCGGGCGCGCGCGGCGCGGAGCGCCGCGAGGAGGCGGCGGCCGUAGGCGCGCUGCUGGGCGCCGGUGCGCCACUUGGUCUCGGCCGGGGGCCCGGAAGCGGCCGGUUUUUUUCUGGACCGGGUCGCGGAGGACGACGACGACGAGGGUUCGGAGGAGGAGGAAGAGGAGAUGGAGAGCAUGAUGAUGGUGAUGACGAUGAUGAUUCAAUGGAGUUAGAGAUAAAGAGAGAAAGGAAAGAGGGGAGGAAGGAAAUGUGGCGGAUUUAUCGAAAGAGGGGAGUUAGUGGUGAGAUUAGCGAUAUUUUUUAUUAGGUAAAAGAAUAUAGAAAACAAACUGUUACUCUCAUUCAAUAAGAUAUAUACAUCUUGCACUCUUUUUUUGUUUUUUUUUUCAAUAAUUUUUGGUAUACAAUAAAAUUAAUAUGAUUAGUAAAUAAAUUUUAAUUUUAAAAAGUUUAAAACGUAAAUUUUACAUCUAUAUUAUAAAUGUACCAACAGUAUUACUUAAAAAAAUUAAUAUUUUUACUAACACUACAAUGAAAAAUGAAUUGCAAUAUUAUAAUAUGGCAAUCUAAAGGUUAGACUUUAAACAUUAUCUUAUUAUUUUUUUAAAUAUACAUAUGUUUUCAAUAUUAAAAUUUGGAUGGCCUUGGCUCAAUUUCAAGACAGCGGAUCUUAGAAUUACAAUUCCAUUUGAGUUGUACAAUUAACAUUUAACAAAAGAUAUUGUAAUAAGGCCAUUUUGAGAUUGGUCCCUAUACACUCUCUUAACCUUCAUUUUUAUUUGAAUUAUUAUUUUACGUAGUUAAGUUUAAAAGUUUGAUAAGCUUAGUGACCCAACUAGCUAUUAUUUGUUUAUUGAUUUAAUUUUAUUUUAUAAAUAAUUAAAAUUUUUAAUUUGAUAAAAUUAUAACUAUUUAAUGAAAUAAACUCAAGAGAAAAUAUUGAUAAAAAAAUAAUGUUUUUUUUUUAGAAAAAGCUAGUACGCUACCCGCUUCAUUCAUUUAGCAGAUGAAUUUAGCUGUAGAGAUUGAGACAACGCGGUCUCGAAAAACAUUGAGGGCAACCAAAACAAAAAAGACAAAUAAAAACUAAAAUAAAAAAGUAAAGUUGAGAGGCUCAUUUUAGAUGACCUAUAUAGUUUGAGGGGGUCUUCAUACAUUUUUUACUCUUUUUCUUUUUCCUUUUUAGUAUAUAUUUAUAUUUAUGUAAUAGUGGGGUUUGGUGUGUGGUCUUGCAAAGCAUGUUGUGUUAAUGGUUUUAUUAAGGGAAAGGGGGGGAAUAUGUUUGUGGCACGGCAUGUGAAUGGAGUGAAAGGCCAAUAGGGCAUUAGGGGCCUAUUUCAUUUUAGGUUACAUGAUUCCAUCACUAAAGGGGGAAUUUAUUUAUUUAUUUAUUUAUUUAUUUAUUUUUUGGUUGGUAGCUUUUGCAUGGUCUAUUUAUCGACUAUUCUUGUGACACACUCGAUGACUGUUAAUUAAAUUGAGAAAUGAUUUUGCCUCAAAUUGAUUCACAUUUCUAGCUAAGUUUAUUUCUAAAUGAAAUAAAUAAACCGGGUAGCGUGCUAUCUAUUUCUCAAAAAAAAAAAAAAAUUACUGAGGAUAAAGCUGAAAUAUAAAAGCUUGUUAUAUAGCUAAGUUCAAUCAUUGGAGCACAUUAACCUUUAUUAUUUAACUGCCGAGGCUAGCUAUGAUAUUAUUUUACUUACUAAAUGGUCUAAUAAAAAACAUACAAAGAAUGAUCAACAACUACGAGAGACUGAGAGAGUGAGAGAGUUAGGAUCGAUUAUCCUAGAAAAUGAAUGCUCCUCGAGUACCCGAUUAUCCUAUAAAUUAUUUAUUACACUAAUAAAUAAUUUAUACAAGCAUGUUCUUACUCUAAAAAAGCUUCCCUAAUAGAUAUAACUAAAAGGUUACAAGCUAUUACUGUAUGUGAAAAUAAAUAUAAUAUAUAAUGGAGGAAAUGAGUUCACUGUAGAAACUUUGUAAGUAGAUAAUGAGUUUUCCAUGAUUUGCUAUAUAUCCACCAUAGUUCACUUAUUACAAUCUUUUGGGAUUUUUUUUUUAAAAAAAAAAAGUUCACAUAACAACAACAGCACAAUAAUGUGGCUACCCCGUACGAGCCGAGCAACAAUCAGUAGACAAUUUCAUUACGUAUAUUGGUGGGGAUUUGAUUGAUACUCGCCUAAUAAAAACAACAAAUUAAAAAACUCUUCCCAUAUAUUCCUCUACGUACGUACUACACUGCACCUCGAUCCGCAUCUUCUAAUUACAAUAUUAUCAACACUCAAAAAACACAUGCAUGCAUCCCAGUAGUAGUUAAUUAGUAAUUGCUUUUGGACGUCCUAUUUUCUACUUAAUUAAUACAACAAUUGUAGGGACUUAAUACAAUUGCAUGCUAAAGUAAAAUGUAUAAAUGAUCUAGUGUAACGUUAGAAAAUGUAAAAUUAAUUUGUGUUCGUAAAUGAUUUGUCGUGAAAAUAAUGGAGGGGAGAGCCCGAGAAAAAAAGCGUUACUCGCUUCGCCUUUGGCUUUCCCACUACGCAAGUGCGGAACAGGCUCCACCAUUUUUUGCUUUAUCCGUGGACGUCGCUUUACGCAGCUUCUUUUUUUUUUUAUAUAUAAAAAAAAAUUAUUAUUUUAGAAUAAAUAAUAACAGCUAGUUAUGUAUAACUAUAUUAGAAUAAUCAAUUAAUUAAUUAAAUAAUUAAUUGACAAGUAUUAAUUAAUUAAUUAAUGAUGUUCCUUGUUGCUGUUGGGUAGUGGUGGAGGUGGAUGUGUUAGCGAGCUAGUGGUUUUAUACUUUGUAUGUAGUAGAAAUUAUGAAAAGGGAAUGAAUUAUAAGGGGAAAAAGAAGUGGGGCUUAAUUAGGUGGGAGAGCAUUUGUCCAUUAGGGAUUGGAUUUAUAUAUAUAUAUAUAAUUUUGGGUUUAGAUGUUAUGUUAUUUGAUGUUGCUUGAGUUUCUUAAAAUAGUAGCCCAAUUAAUUAAAUACCUUCUCUUCGCAGCAGGUACUUUAAAUAUAAUAAAAUGAUGAUUAUUUUUUUAUUCAACUAAAUAUUUUUUAAAACUUUAAUGGAUUAAAAUUAAGUAGUUAUUAAAUAUAUAUAUAUAUAUAUAUAGAGUUGAGUUAGAAUACUCUCAAUAGUAAACGGGGCGUUUUACUAUCGAGUUGUUUUCGAUGAUAGAGCUUCCAAAUUGACGAUCGGCUCCGUUAAAUAUGAUCUAAACCAUUUAAACUACCUAGAAAUCAAAUUUCACGCACUUUCGAUAUUAUUCUUUUAUCUAUCUAGUGAACAAAAAAUGAAUGGCUGAAAAUGAAUAUUCUUUAAAAAAUGAUGAUAGGAGUCUUGUAAUCAAGAUCAAGAGUAUAGAUCUUGUUUUAAAUAGUUUAAAGAAUUUUCUAUCAAAAAUUCAAUUGAUUUGGAUAUCUUUACACCGUUAAACGAGAAAACGUCUUUUAUCCACCAUUAAAAUUAUAAAUUUUGAAACCCGUUGAUCAUUAGGCAAAUGAUGUCGAAAAGAUUUGAAAUUUGAUUUCUAAACACUUCAAGCGGUAUAGAUCAUGUUCAACGGAGCCGAUCGUCAAUUUGGAAGCUCUAUCAUCGAAAACAACUCGAUAGUAAAACGCCCCGUUUACUAUCGAGAGUAUUCUAGCUCAACUAUAUAUAUAUGAUUGGUAAAAAUAUAUUAUUUAAGUAUGAAGUUGUCUAAAAAAUUAAUGGUGCAGAAGUUUCCAACUUUUUAUUUUCUAUAAAUAAGGUAUUGUGCUUAAUUUUUUAGAAAUAAAUAUAUAUUGAAACCUCUUGAACUACAGCUGGUACUUUUGAUAAAACCGCUCAACUUGCACUUUUUGGAUUAGCACCUUCUUAAUUUUUAGAACUAAAUUCUUUUAGCUAUUUUAGUUAAAAAUUUAUUACAUUUAUUUAGCUCUACUAUUUUUUUUUUUCUAAUUUUAUUAGUUAGAAAUAAAUUUAAAAAAUAAUUAAAAUAAGUAAAAGUUGACGGAUCCAUUUCAAAUUGGGAAAUAGUUUUUUUUUUUCUUCGUUUAUUUUAUUAAGAAAUAAAUUUAGCUGGAAAUGUGAAUCAACUAGGAUUCGAACUUGGGUCUCGGAUACCAACCACCAAGUCCUUUGCCACUUGCUCUAGAAACAGUCGGUAAUUAGGAAAUAGUUGAGGGAGAGUUCCUGAUGGUUGUAGCGAUAGCUAUAUAACAUUGCUCUUUAUAAUUUGCGAAUAUGCAUAUAAUCAUCCGUAAAUUAUAAAUUUUAUCACUGGUUAUUACAUUUUUAUUUUAAAUAUUUAAUCUUAAAAAUUUUUAUAUAAAUACUUUAGAUAACUGGAUGGUUAAAAUUGAAAAUCAAAAUUAACAAAAGAAAACAGGUUAAAUUGGUCUAAGAUAGAGUGGUGCAUACACGCAACAAACAUUUUCUCUCUCCCUCGUAUCGUCUGCCCGGAUAAGAUUAUUUAUUGCCUGAACCUUGUUCACCAUGUCAUUCAUGGACCGCCCAAGUGAUUUACUUUUCGUCAAGAAAAAUUCUUGAAAUAACUAUGGUUUAAUAAAAAUAAAAUAUACUAUGACAGGUGUGAUUUACAAUAUUUAACUAACUUAUGCAUAAUUAUUUGGAAGAACUUCAAAAAAACCCCUGUGGUUUCACACUUUUUAAUUUUAGUACCCUGUGUUUAAAGUGUAUAAAGUUAGUAUUCUGUGGUUUCUCACUUUAUCACUUUAGUACCCUGUGGUUUAAAGUGUAUCAAGUUAGUAUCCUGUGAUUUUGCACUUUAUCAUUUUAGUACCAUGUGGUUUCACACUUUAUCACUUUAGUACCCUAUGGGCGCGUUUGAUUCGCACUAUGAAAGAUUACUAGGAGUAAAAAGAUAUCCGAGAAUCUUAUUCCUAUUAAUCCUAUUACUAAGAAUGUAAUAUUUUAGUGUUUGGUUCGUAUGGUCAUAUUAUUUAGUCAUGUUAUUUAAGAUUAUGAAAAAAAUACAAUUAGUUAAUUUAUUUUUAAAAUUAAUUUUAAAUAAUACUAUAAAAAAUUUCAACAUCCUUUUAGAAAAAAGAGAGAGAAUAUAUGUUAAAAAGAGAUAUUAUAAUUAAAGAAAUAGGAAGAGAAAUAGAGUCGAGGUUAGAGAGAACGAGAAGGUUGAGAUUUUAGAAAAAGAGGAGGAGAAAUAGCAUAGUUUAGAGAGAGAAAAAGAGUUGAAGUUUAGAGAGAAAAAGAUAAGUUUAGAGAGAGAUAUAAGGUUAGAGUGUAAAGAAAAAUAAUACCAACUAGCCGGCGGGUGAGAAGAAAGAAAGAGAUUAGAUAUAUUAUAAUUACUCCAAUCCAUUAAUAUAAGGAUACCCACCCUCUCUCAAAAGAUUGAGAUUAGUAUUUUGGAAUGCAUUUCAUUCCUAAGUAAAUCCAAUAUUACCAACUAGAUUAUUUAAUGCGUUUAGCCAAACAACGUCAUAUUUUUUUAUUCCUAUUGAAUUACUAGGAAUCUUAAAAAAAUAGCGCGAACCAAACGCACCCUAUAGUUUAAAAAAUCAUAGGGUACUAACUUGAUACAAAAUUAAAACCACAUGGUACUAAAGUGAUAAAGUGCAAAACCACAGGAUACUAACUUGAUACACUUUAAACCACAGGAUACUAAAGUGAUAAAGUGAAAAAUCACAGGGUACUAACUUGAUACAUUUUAUACCACAUGGUACUAAAGUGAAAAAAAAUUGAAACCACAUGGGUUUUUUUUGAAGUUUUCCCUAAUUAUUAAGCAUAGGUAAUUUUAAAAAUCUAAU
Molecule: long non-coding RNA, 9044 nt
Filed under: Ananas comosus (pineapple)
Lineage: Eukaryota; Viridiplantae; Streptophyta; Magnoliopsida; Poales; Bromeliaceae
Description: long non-coding RNA (ACOM_LNC008278)
Source: RNAcentral